Helianthus annuus (common sunflower) is the source of this 1463-nucleotide RNA transcript. It is a transcript of the gene named FACT complex subunit SSRP1, with no coding region annotated. The record is from RefSeq and is a predicted model, not a curated record. NCBI's taxonomy places the organism in Eukaryota, Viridiplantae, Streptophyta, Magnoliopsida, Asterales, Asteraceae. The transcript is spliced from 9 exons.
AUUUAUAUAAUCUUAAAAGGAAAUGUCAGUGCACCACUCUUUUGACAAUAAUGCCCUUUCCUCACUUCUAUUUCGCCAUUCUUUCUCCUCACUUCUAUUUCGCCCUUCGUUUCCACUCGACUGAAACAUAUCACGCAGAUCCAAAACCCUAGCACAAUUGCUGUGCCAUCAUCUUCACACACUUGCCAGUCCUUCAAUCGAUCGCUCACGUUUCCCCUAACCCUAUAUCGUGCACCAUCAUGCUCCAUCGUUCACGCCUCCGAUCCCUGUAUUUCUGUUGUAAUUUGAUCUGGAAAUUGUGGUUGUUCUGUUCAUUGUUUUAGAUCUUCUCGAGUCAAAGAUGGGGCCUAUGGAUAUUGUUGGUAAGAGCAAAGAGGAUGCUUCGUUACCGAAAGAUUCAUUUGCAGUGUUUUUAUUUUUUUUAAAAGUUCGGUGCCCCAGUUCGGCGGCUAGGGUUUAGUCAGAGUUUUCCCAACGAUUGAGUCAAAUCAACCACAUACAUUUGUUGUUGUUACCCUCGAUCCACCUAUCCGUAAGGGUCAAACUAUGUAUCCACAUAUAGUGUUGCAGUUUGAAACAGAUUAUGUGGUGGAAAGCACGUUGACAAUGAAUGAAGAUCUUUUCGCUACCAAAUACAAGGACAAGCUAGAACCAACUUAUAAGGGACUGAUUUAUGAAGUGUUUACAAUGGUAUUGAGAGGCUUAUCAGGCACAAAACUCACAAGUCCCGGAAAAUUCCGUAGCUGUCAAGACGGUUACGCUGUGAAGUCAUCGUUAAAAGCCGAAGAUGGCGUUCUUUAUCCGCUUGAAAAGAGUUUUUUCUUCUUACCAAAACCACCUACUCUUAUUCUAUACGAUGAGAUGGCAAAAUAUUCCAAGUGCAAGCUGGAAUUCAGCAAGUGUCAAAGGAAGGAUAUAGGGUAUGUUUGGCAAAAGUAUUUGGUCGCAAAAGAAGAGUUCGGUGAUGAAGAGGUGAACUGUGAAUCUUCACCGGAACAGGCUGCAAAUUUUUUAUUUUGGUUUCGCUCGAUCCACUUUAGAUGAAGAAAGCCAAGAAUGCGAUCUUGAACCAACGCUACGUAGCGCGCCGCAACGCGCGCGAGUGAUGAACCUGUAAAGACCGACUCGUGGCGAGUCUGCAAUGUAACGACCAAAUGUUGGUGAUUCAAAAAUAUUUUUGAUCUUUUCUACACCAUUGAAUCCGGUAGCAAAAAUAACAACGUCUGCUUUUAUCUGCGUGUCAUCGUCUUUGAGGCUGAUCCCUUUUUCGGAAAAUGUAAAGCUUGGAGUUUUUUGCAACUUGAUGCUUCCUUUCUUAACCGCAUCGAAGAAAUUAUCCGGGUCAGGCAUAUAGCAAAUUAAACCUGAGUUCAUGUCUUUUAAUACGCCUUGUUGUGGCACCAUAUCAAACUUAUGGAGUGGAAGUGUCAUUUUGGCGUAGCUUUCCACAAAUUUCCAGACUA